UGGUGGAGUGACUUGUCUGGUUAAUUCCUCGCAUUUCAUGUCGCCUCGGGCAGGUGGAAAAUUUCUCAGAGGAACUUUGUGUGACUAAUGCAAGGAAGUUUGAGGCAAUAACA
Molecule: ribosomal RNA, 113 nt
Filed under: uncultured eukaryote
Lineage: Eukaryota
Description: partial 18S ribosomal RNA
Source: RNAcentral